UCGAUUAGAUACCCGUGUAGUCCUAGCCGUAAACGAUACUCGCUAGGUGUCAGCCACGGUGCGACCGUUGUCGGUGCCGUAGGGAAGCCGUGAAGCGAGCCACCUGGGAAGUACGGCCGCAAGGCUGAAACUUAAAGGAAUUGGCGGGGGAGCACUACAACGGGUGGAGCCUGCGGUUUAAUUGGAUUCAACGCCGGAAAUCUCACCGGGGGCGACAGCGAUAUGAAGGUCAGGCUGAAGACUUUACCGGAUUAGCUGAGAGGUGGUGCAUGGCA
Molecule: ribosomal RNA, 275 nt
Filed under: uncultured archaeon
Lineage: Archaea
Description: partial 16S ribosomal RNA
Rfam family: Archaeal small subunit ribosomal RNA
Source: RNAcentral